This 203-nucleotide ribosomal RNA is filed under the name uncultured bacterium. Its description in RNAcentral is "partial 16S ribosomal RNA". It matches the Rfam family "Bacterial small subunit ribosomal RNA", at positions 131 to 334 of the family's 1533-position model. The record is from RNAcentral.
UUGGUGGUGGGGGAGUAGCCGGGCACGCCCGGGUAAUACCGCAUACGGUUGCCGAGGGGAGUCCCUUGGCAAAGAAACCUCCGGGGCACAGAGAGGGGCUCGCGGCCUAUCAGCUAGUUGGUGAGGUAAUGGCUCACCAAGGCGACGACGGGUAGCUGGUCUGAGAGGAUGGCCAGCCACAUUGGGACUGAGAUACGGCCCAG